UACGUAGAGUGCAAGCGUUAAUCGGAAUUACUGGGCGUAAAGCGUGCGCAGGCGGUUUUGUAAGACAGAGGUGAAAUCCCCGGGCUCAACCUGGGAACUGCCUUUGUGACUGCAAGGCUAGAGUACGGCAGAGGGGGGUGGAGUUCCGCGUGUAGCAGUGAAAUGCGUAGAUAUGCGGAGGAACACCGAUGGCGAAGGCAACCCCCUGGGCCUGUACUGACGCUCAUGCACGAAAGCGUGGGGAGCAAACAGG
RNAcentral lists this ribosomal RNA (253 nucleotides) under uncultured bacterium. RNAcentral's name for it is "partial 16S ribosomal RNA". It matches the Rfam family "Bacterial small subunit ribosomal RNA", at positions 524 to 776 of the family's 1533-position model. The record is from RNAcentral.